Molecule: ribosomal RNA, 1492 nt
Filed under: Lacticaseibacillus paracasei
Lineage: Bacteria; Bacillati; Bacillota; Bacilli; Lactobacillales; Lactobacillaceae
Description: bacterial SSU rRNA
Rfam family: Bacterial small subunit ribosomal RNA
Source: RNAcentral
GAUGAACGCUGGCGGCGUGCCUAAUACAUGCAAGUCGAACGAGUUCUCGUUGAUGAUCGGUGCUUGCACCGAGAUUCAACAUGGAACGAGUGGCGGACGGGUGAGUAACACGUGGGUAACCUGCCCUUAAGUGGGGGAUAACAUUUGGAAACAGAUGCUAAUACCGCAUAGAUCCAAGAACCGCAUGGUUCUUGGCUGAAAGAUGGCGUAAGCUAUCGCUUUUGGAUGGACCCGCGGCGUAUUAGCUAGUUGGUGAGGUAAUGGCUCACCAAGGCGAUGAUACGUAGCCGAACUGAGAGGUUGAUCGGCCACAUUGGGACUGAGACACGGCCCAAACUCCUACGGGAGGCAGCAGUAGGGAAUCUUCCACAAUGGACGCAAGUCUGAUGGAGCAACGCCGCGUGAGUGAAGAAGGCUUUCGGGUCGUAAAACUCUGUUGUUGGAGAAGAAUGGUCGGCAGAGUAACUGUUGUCGGCGUGACGGUAUCCAACCAGAAAGCCACGGCUAACUACGUGCCAGCAGCCGCGGUAAUACGUAGGUGGCAAGCGUUAUCCGGAUUUAUUGGGCGUAAAGCGAGCGCAGGCGGUUUUUUAAGUCUGAUGUGAAAGCCCUCGGCUUAACCGAGGAAGCGCAUCGGAAACUGGGAAACUUGAGUGCAGAAGAGGACAGUGGAACUCCAUGUGUAGCGGUGAAAUGCGUAGAUAUAUGGAAGAACACCAGUGGCGAAGGCGGCUGUCUGGUCUGUAACUGACGCUGAGGCUCGAAAGCAUGGGUAGCGAACAGGAUUAGAUACCCUGGUAGUCCAUGCCGUAAACGAUGAAUGCUAGGUGUUGGAGGGUUUCCGCCCUUCAGUGCCGCAGCUAACGCAUUAAGCAUUCCGCCUGGGGAGUACGACCGCAAGGUUGAAACUCAAAGGAAUUGACGGGGGCCCGCACAAGCGGUGGAGCAUGUGGUUUAAUUCGAAGCAUCGCGAAGAACCUUACCAGGUCUUGACAUCUUUUGAUCACCUGAGAGAUCAGGUUUCCCCUUCGGGGGCAAAAUGACAGGUGGUGCAUGGUUGUCGUCAGCUCGUGUCGUGAGAUGUUGGGUUAAGUCCCGCAACGAGCGCAACCCUUAUGACUAGUUGCCAGCAUUUAGUUGGGCACUCUAGUAAGACUGCCGGUGACAAACCGGAGGAAGGUGGGGAUGACGUCAAAUCAUCAUGCCCCUUAUGACCUGGGCUACACACGUGCUACAAUGGAUGGUACAACGAGUUGCGAGACCGCGAGGUCAAGCUAAUCUCUUAAAGCCAUUCUCAGUUCGGACUGUAGGCUGCAACUCGCCUACACGAAGUCGGAAUCGCUAGUAAUCGCGGAUCAGCACGCCGCGGUGAAUACGUUCCCGGGCCUUGUACACACCGCCCGUCACACCAUGAGAGUUUGUAACACCCGAAGCCGGUGGCGUAACCCUUUUAGGGAGCGAGCCGUCUAAGGUGGGACAAAUGAUUAGGGUG